Molecule: long non-coding RNA, 2814 nt
Filed under: Homo sapiens (human)
Lineage: Eukaryota; Metazoa; Chordata; Mammalia; Primates; Hominidae
Description: non-protein coding lnc-ZNF780B-1:1
Source: RNAcentral
CUCACAUGAAUGUACUAAAUGUAUCCCCAAUGAAAAAAAUAAAGCAAUAUUUAUUGAUAAAAUGCUGUGUGCCAAAUACUCUUUUAAAGGUUUUAUCUUUUAUUAGCAUUUCAUCCUCACAAAAAUACUAUUAGGUGGUACUGUUAUUACCAUUUUAAAAACCAAGGCACAGGGGCAUGUUUUGCCAAACACCACAUAGGCAGAGGUGGAAUUAUGAGAAUUAUAUUAUUUAUAUAUAUCAUAAAGAUAGGCCAAGGCUGGUCUUUCCCAUGUUCAUUACAUUAACAGAAUCAUUUUCCGUUACAGUGCUAUAUAAAGUGUGGUCCAUGUGUUGACACUGGCCCACAAAUUGUUUGCUUCUGGUCUCUGCAAAAGUUAUAGAUACCAAGAGCAAGUAUUUAGAAAUGUUUGCAGCAAUCUGACAGAGUUAACUCAGUUAAAUACCAUAAUAAAAAACUGGGGCUUUUAUUUUGUAUGUCUGUUUUUUUCUUUUCAUUUUUCUGGUAAUCUAUUUAUUUAUUUAUUUAAGAGACAGAGUCUUGCUCUGUUGCCCAAGCUAGAGUGCAGUGGUGCGAUCUCAGCUCACUGCAACCUCUGCCACUUAGGUUCAUGCAAUUUUCCUGCCUCAGCCUCCUGAGUAGCUGGGAUUACAGGCACCCCCCACAAUGCCUAGCUAAUUUGUGUAUUUUAGUAGAGAAGGGGUUUCACCAUGUUGGCCAGGCUGGUCUUGAACUCCUGACCUCAGGUGAUCUGCUCACCUGGGCCUCCCAUAGUGCUGGGAUUACAGGUGUGAGCCACUGUGCCUGGCCCGCAUUUUAUUUAUUUAUUUAGAGACAGGAUCUCACUCUGUCACCAAGCUGGAGUGCAGUGGCACAAUCAUGGCUCACUAAAGCCAUGAGGCAGGGUCUCACUAUGUUGCCCAGGCUGGUUUCGAACUCCUGUCUUUCCACAGUGCUGGGAUUACAGGUGUGAGCCACUUCACCUGGCCCAUUAUUAUUGCAUUUUAGAGAAGCACUGUUCAACAACAGUUUGUAGGGGAAAAGGCCCUUGAUGGUUUGGGAUGCAGUGCAUCAGUAUCAAUCUUCUAAAGUCUAACAGGGACUGAGUGAUGCUAUAGUCUUUCGACUCUUUAACAUACGAAAUAAUUUCUGAUAAAUUGUGAGCAUGAAGUAAAAGGGAUUCCCACAUGUUCCGUAACAAACAGAAAAUUUCUUAAAUUACAAAUUCUCUGCUAAAGGGCAUUUUCUAAAGGCCAUCGUAUUCUCUUUACAUUAUGCAUAGGACUUCCUCACUAAUAUGAUUUCUCUGAUGUAAAGUAAGUUGAUCACUACGAAUAAAGGCUUUUCCACAUUCUUUACAUUGAUAGGGUUUUUCACCAGUAUGAAUUCUGUGAUGUCGAGUAAGUUCUGAAUUAACACUGAAGGCUUUCCCACAUUCUUUACAUUUAUAGGGUUUCUCACCCGUGUGAACUAUGUGAUGUCGAGUAAGUUCUGCUUGAAGACGAAAGGCAUUCCCACAUUCUUUACAGCUAUAAGGUUUCUCACCAGUAUGAAGUCUAAAAUGUUGAGUAAGAUGAUACCGACGACUAAAGGUCUUUCCACAUUCCUUACAUUCAUAUGGAAGCUCACCAGUGUGAAUUCUUUGAUGUAAUGUAAGUCGAUAACUGCAAAUAAAAGCAUUCCCACAUUCAUUACAUAUGUAGGGCUUCUCACCAGUAUGGCCUCUGUGAUGUUGAGUAAGAUGAUAGUGCCGACUAAACGUCUUCCCACAUUCCGUACAUUCGUAGGGUUUCUCACCAGUAUGAAUUCUGUGAUGUUGCGUGAGAUGAGUGCUACGAAUAAAGGCCUUCCCACAUUCCUUACAUUCAUAGGGAAUCUCACCGGUGUGAGUUCUCAGAUGUAAAGUAAGUUGAUAACCACAAAUAAAGGCCUUCCCACAUUCCUUACAUUCAUAGGGUUUCUCACCAGUAUGAGUUCUAUGAUGCCGAGUAAGUUCCGUUUGAAGACGAAAGGCUUUUCCACAUUCUCUACAUUCAUAGGGUUUCUCACCAGUAUGAAUUCUACGAUGUCGAGCAAGUUCUGCAUGAAAACUAAAGGACUUACCACAUUCUUUACAUUCGUAGGGUUUUUCACCAGUAUGAAUUUUCUGAUGUUGAACAAGGUAUGAGCCAUGACUAAAGGCCUUCCCACAUUCAUUACAUUUAUAGGGUUUGACACCAGUAUGAAUUUUCUGAUGUUGACUAAUAUGUCGUUGUACCCUAAAGGUCUUGCCACAAACCUUACAUUCAUAAGGCCUCUCACCAGUAUGAAUUCUUUGAUGUUCAGUUAGUUGAUAAUGAAGUCUAAAGGCCUUCCCACAUUCUUUACAUUCAUAAGGUCUCUCUCCAGCAUGAAUUGUCUGAUGUACUCUAAGGUCUCUAACACGACUAAAGGCUUUCCCACAUUCCUUACACUCGUAGGGUUUCACACCAGAAUGUAUUCUCUGAUGUUCAGUAAGGUGAUAAUGAAGUCUAAAGGCCUUCCCACAUUCUUUACAUUCAUAGGGUCUCUCCCCAGCAUGGAUUGUGUGAUGUACUCUAAGGUCUCCCACUCGACAAAAGGCCUUUCCACAUUCCAUACAUUUAUAGGGUCUCUCACCAGUGUGAAUUCUCAGAUGUUGAAUAAGGUAUGACUGUUGUCUAAAGGCCUUUCUACAUUCCUUACAUUCAUAUGAUUUCUCUCUAGCAUGAAUUUUUGGAUGUAGAGGAUGAGAUAUUUGUUUUUGGAUUAGCAUUUGACUAACGCAUCCCAUCUGAUGUCUCUCUUGUCUCUCAAA